Molecule: small RNA, 995 nt
Filed under: Pan troglodytes (chimpanzee)
Lineage: Eukaryota; Metazoa; Chordata; Mammalia; Primates; Hominidae
Description: processed transcript
Source: RNAcentral
AAAAUUCAGCUGCUGCCUCUGUCUUGAGGACCCCAGCGCCUUUCCCCCGGGGCCAUGCUGCCUGCAGCCACAGCCUCCCUCCUGGGGCCCCUCCUCACUGCCUGCGCCCUGCUGCCUUUUGCCCAGGGCCAGACCCCCAACUACACCAGACCCGUGUUCCUGUGCGGAGGGGAUGUGAAGGGGGAAUCAGGUUACGUGGCAAGUGAGGGGUUCCCCAACCUCUACCCCCCUAAUAAGGAGUGCAUCUGGACCAUAACGGUCCCCGAGGGCCAGACUGUGUCCCUCUCAUUCCGAGUCUUCGACCUGGAGCUGCACCCCGCCUGCCGCUACGAUGCUCUGGAGGUCUUCGCUGGGUCUGGGACUUCCGGCCAGCGGCUCGGACGCUUUUGUGGGACCUUCCGGCCUGCGCCCCUAGUCGCCCCCGGCAACCAGGUGGCCCUGAGGAUGACGACGGAUGAGGGCACAGGAGGACGAGGCUUCCUGCUCUGGUACAGCGGGCGGGCCACCUCGGGCACUGGGCCCCCCCCAGGCGCGAGGCGGAAAUGGGUCACCGACCCGCGGGUGGAAUGGGCGGCCUGGGGUUACUGGGACGGUGAGUAACUGCCCGCCCCCGUCCGCAAUCGGGCUCCCUCCGUCGGGCGCGAGGGGGCACCCCAGGGCUGGGGGGACUAGGUUCCUCCAACCCGGGGGGCCCCCUACACCCAGCCCUGGGCUCCCGAUUGCGGUCCCAUCACCCCCUCCUGGCGGCAGAAGUCUCCCUUGCAAUGUUUCAGGCGGGGACCUCCCUAAAGGGGGCCUCGGGGGCUGUGCCCCAAGUCGAGGACACCCUCUCCAGCCUGAAAGGGGACUCUGCUGCAGGGCCGGGGAGAUGGGAUCUCCUAGGGGAAGAGGCGCGGUGCGGCCGCGGGUCGGGGAGGGGCCAGAAGGGGGCGUCCAGCCAGUUCCUCCUCCCGCUUCCACCGCCCGCCAGUGCGCCCUGCGGCCCCAGACUUCCC